AGAGCUUGCUUUGGAUACCUUAGUGGCGCACGGGUGAGUAACACGUGGGAACCUACCUUGGAGCGGGGAAUAACUUCGGGAAACUGAAGCUAAUACCGCAUACGCCCUUCGGGGGAAAGGCUUCGGCCACUCUAAGAUGGUCCCGCGUCCGAUUAGCUUGUUGGUGAGGUAACGGCUCACCAAGGCGACGAUCGGUAGCUGGUCUGAGAGGAUGAUCAGCCACACUGGGACUGAGACACGGCCCAGACUCC
RNAcentral lists this ribosomal RNA (251 nucleotides) under uncultured bacterium. RNAcentral describes it as "partial 16S ribosomal RNA". It matches the Rfam family "Bacterial small subunit ribosomal RNA", at positions 75 to 339 of the family's 1533-position model. The record is from RNAcentral.